Long non-coding RNA from Cygnus olor (mute swan), 6716 nucleotides. RefSeq lists it as uncharacterized. Lineage: Eukaryota; Metazoa; Chordata; Aves; Anseriformes; Anatidae. The record is from RefSeq and is a predicted model, not a curated record. The transcript has 3 exons.
UAUUAUCCUUGGUACUUUCCACAGCCAUUUGGAUUCUCCAGCAGAUGCAGAAUCCAGCUGCCAGCCUGCCUCAGGGGUGAGCUCUGCCGUUGCUGACGGUUGUACCCAAGAAUACCUGGCUACAAAGCACCACAGAUGUGUGCCUGGCUCUUGAUGGGGCUGUUGUAUCUUUGAUACCCCACCUGCAUUUUGAAGAGGGCUUGAUAAAUGCAGACAAAGUCUUAUUCAGAGUGACAGCAGUGUCAAGUGGGCAGCAGUUGUGCUGCGUAUUAGAAGACUUUCAACAGUGAUGCACAGGAAAGCAAACAGGACAUCGGUGUAGUGACAACCCUGCCGUGGCUCCAUGUGCAUCUCUAACGGAGGAGACACAAUCUCAGACGCAUGCAGCUGAAGUUUGGAUUUCUCUGCACAGCAGAUUGAGGUUUCCAGGGUCCCAAGAUCGUCUGAGGGUCCCUCAUUGGCUUCGUGACGGAAAGUGGUUGAUUCACCUCCACCCAGCGGUAAUUACGUGUUGCUGUCUGCUGGAAGUUCCCAUGUUUGGCAUUGGAGUGGUAAGCCUAGAACUCACUGCUGAGAUUAACUGCAAUGUAAAACCAUGAUUUCUUGAUGCCUCUGUUUUAUAUUCAGCCUAGUAAAAGUUACUUAGUGCAUUAUAUUAUUUACUUGUGAUAUUAUAUAAUCAUUAAAAUAUUCCUAAUUGCUGUUACACUGACAUACUCAUACUUCUCAGCAGCUAUUUGCAUGCAGCCUUCCCAUCAAACAAGAGAGCAGUUCUGGUAGCAGAAGAGUUGGUGAUUUGUUGUUGUUGUUUUAUUUUAUUUUAUUUUAUUUUAUUUGCCUUUUAGGAGAGUCUUUUUUUUUUUUUUCUCCCUCCUUGUAUUCUAGAUCCUGAUGCAUACAGUAGAGCUCCUUCCAGAGGGGCUUUGCUCGCCCCUGAAAGCUGAUCGUUUUAGCCCCUCAGCUUUAAGACACAAUUACUCCCUUGUCAGUGCAGUUCUUACCGAACCACGCUGACUUGGCAGGUCUCCACUCCUUCUUUGUUUAAGUUUAUUUAUUUUUAUAUCAGAAAGGUAGUAAAAUUGACAAAAGAGGUUUAUUCAGACUCUAACUGCACAGUUUACCUCACACACGAAAUAAAACAUCCAGCACACUUCCUUUUGUUUGUGGCAUCAAUGCUGAACUGUUAUAAUGCCAGAGUUAGGUAACUUCUCCCUGCCUUUGCCUUUUGAAACCUUUUUUGCAUCAGUGUCCCAUGCUCAGUUUUCUGUUUGCUCUGCACCCUCCAUCUUUUCGGGAUGUUGUUGGCUCAAAGUGGAAAACUUUUCACAGAAGUGAGCCCAAGAAUGUAGGGCCCCAGUCCCAGCAGGCAGGGCUUUCCCUGGAAGAGAGGGAUGGAGAAAUGAAGGGAGGGGGCUCCCAUGGGGGCCAUUUUGGGUAGAAUUAGUGAUGCCCCCCGAGCAGUUCAUGUGUCUCCUCACUCAGCUUCUGUGGGUCCCAUCUGCUCCCAAACACUGCAUCAGGACCAGCCAUAGCCUCACUGGGGUCAGGCCUCCACUUGGCUGCGUCCCGUCCUGGAGCACCUCAGAGCUGCUGUGCUGAGUAACCUCUUCCAUGGCACGACCACUAAACCCUUGAGUCCUUACUCAACCAGUGGGCUCUCAUUUAGGGAUCAGAUUUAGUAUCCAAAUGAUCCUAUAAACACAGCUAUGGAACAGGAGCUGCAAUCUAUUUAGCAAGGUCUGUUUUCAUGUAUGUUCAUUGGUGAGUUGGGAUCAGAGUGGGUGUAGGUCCUGGGGAUGGGUGACUGGAGUUAGCAAAGAAGAAAGAGGUGUGGGUGGAUGGAGUAACAUUUCAAAACAGAAGGUGAAUUCACAACUCUGUUUCUAACUGGUGUAUGGUAAUACUCCUGCUACAAUGAUAUAUGGGGUCUGGAAAAGUGAAUAAAUUGUCUUUAAAAACCCAGUUUAAUUGAGGGAAUAGAGCAGAGACAGCAAUGCAGGAAGGAGAAAUUAAUUCACUCAAUAUUAUUUGUCAACAUACCAACUUCCCCGCCUUUAUAAGCACUGCAAUAGUUCUGUCAUCCAAUGCAGGCACACAACAUGUCAACUAAUGGGGACACUGCUGCUGGGGAGGCUCUUGGACAAGGUCAGCAAUAGCCAGACCAUAUACUUAAAUGUUUUCUGCAGAAGCAGGUUCAUUUGUGACCUGGGCACUGGGACUACCCAGCCUCCAGCCCCAUGUGUGUAUUUUGGCGCCAGCCUUCCUCUUCUGAGGCUCUGCUCCUCACCUAGGCUGUGUAUGUAGCCAAGUCUGUGCUCUGCAAAAGGCAAUCAGUGACGUUACUGUGCUCUGCUGACCAGGGGUACUGUCUAACAGUUGUUCUGAGUGCACUGCAGGUUACAUGCAUGUUAACCGCCAUUUUGACUUUGGGGAGGCCUGUAACCUACAUCAGAUGGUGGGCUGGGAUAUUUGCAGGCUUGCCCAAGAGCUUAUCAUGUUCAGCACUACUGAAAGCCAUGGGAAUGGGGUACCCAAAUCCCUUUGGUGCUGUUACCAUCCCCAUCCAGCUUUCCUCAGCCAUGCCUGUAACCUGUCCACCACCAGCAUUGCUGGGUGUCUGUGCCCAUGUGCUCUAAGUGCCUUGCUUUAGAAACAACUGAAGGGCAUUGCCUCCUGUGCUGCAAAGCAUGCACAUUGUCUUUGUGCUUAAACUCACCAAUGGGUGCAGCCAGAAACCAGGCCUUGGGAACUCCGAUUUUGACUCCGACACCGUCUGAUGAGCUGAGUCCUGCCCUUGACAGCCCAGAGCUGCCGCUCGCCCUCCUGGAGGUGAGGUGACCCUGGUUGGGCGGGUCACACACCCACACCAUCAAGCCCUCCCAAACGUAUGCGGUGCAUCAUCACCUUUGUGCUACUCCCAGCUGAACAGAGAGAGGACUUUACCUCCCCUUCUUGUAUCAGAAAGGUCAGCCCCAGCACAGACUGCCUUUUCUUUUAAAGCCAUUAAAAGGAUUUUACAUCAUAAAAUGCUGUAAUAGCAAUGCAAUUAAUGACUCUUUAGAAGCAUUCAGAGAUUACUGGCUCUUGGUGCAGUAAAUAGAAAGCAGUGAGGUUCUGUAGUUCAUUUCCAAACAGGUGAGUGGGAACUCUGAAAGCAGCAGCGAUUAGUGUGUCUGCAGGUCUGGUUUCUCCUUUCCCUGAAGUGAAGGUAGGCGUUAGUCUGAGGUGUGCAACAUCAACAUCAUGCCUGAUAUAAGAUUUGCCAAUGUUCGUUUGUUGCUUUCUACUCUUUAGCAAUCAAACAGAAACUUUUCAGCUGGUACCUUCUGGGUGACAAGGUUUGAGAAAUAACCUUUCGGUCACUAUUGCAGCAUUGUGAAAAUAUUCUUAGGUGAUAAGACAGCUGCAUCCCAUGAGUAGAGCUCAUUAUCGCAGCGCAACCUGUGUUCCCUGGUAUGGUUCAGAGAGUUUGUUACCAAAAAUGUACAUUACUUCUCUGGGUGGUAGUGUAUACACUGCAAGAAAAAUGCUCCAGAUGGAGCUGCUCAAACUUACAUUAGCAUAUUUGCCUGUUAUAGAAACCUUUAAACUUAGUUCUGCUUAAGCACCAUUAGGGGCAAAAGCUACAUUGCCUGCUGUGGCAGUGGGACUGGGUCGGUAAUGCCAUAUUAUGAUAAAUAGCCUGUAUUGUAUCACAAAUAUUGUGAUUGCUCAGGAGACUGGUGACCCUCUCGUUACUUUCUGAAGCUAUAUUUAAGUUUCAAAAUUCAUGUUAUUUGCCAUAUAAGCCAUUGUAAAAAUGAAUAUCAUUGUAGUGAUAUAUAACAGACAAAGGUAUCUGUUCCUGGUGAAGCAGUGUUGAGUCUUUAUAUAUUCCCACCAAAGGAACAAACUAAGUUUUAACAACAAUAGUUGGCAGUAUUUCUAUUAAAUGGCAUUAGCCAAUAAUUUCUAAAAAAAUGCCUGUUAAUUACAGCAUUCAACCCUUGCAGACAGUUCUAUUUUACAUGAGUGCAAUCCAGUUUCCAGCCAUCAGCUGAAGACUGUAGCCUUUCGUUUUAGCUGAACAAGACCAUAUAUUACCAGAUUCCUUUCUGGGAUAAAUCUAUUGUCACCAUUUUUUUUUUUGUUUUUGUUUUUUAUUAUUUUUGGUUUUGGUUGGUUGGUUGGUUGGUUUUAAUCCUGACACUGCCAAGUAACAUUCAAAAGAGACAGUUUACUCACCGCUACCUCCAGGCAGCUCAUCUGACUGGUGAGUGACCUGCCAGCUCAGGUCCAGGGCAGCUGCUUAGCUCAAACACGGCGCUCUGCUGCUGCGGCUGGGCUGUCAGGGCAGCCAGCCUAGCUCCAGAGCCCAGGUGACCUGCUGUCCUCACGGCAGCCCUAACACCAGCAGCAAACUGCGCGUCCGGAGGCACAGUGCUCGCACAGUGCCACGUCGCACUGCAGCAGCCAGCUUGGGCUGGGGACUGCUGGCGGAGCUGGGGUGGGCUGAGGAGCAGGAGCUGCCUGCUAGUUGGGGCAUCCAGCACAUUCUGCCCGGGCAUCUGGGCUGUAUCGUGUGUCCCUUGAACACUGAACCCCCUUGGCGUGUUCAGCAAGAGGGCUGGCACAGGGUGUGCUGCCACGGCCGUCUGCUGCUGGCCCUCAGCUGCUCGCAGGAGGUGUCUGCUGGGUUCCCAGCACAUCUGGUAGACGUCAUGUCAUGCCACGAAGCGUUACCUUCUAGCUACACAAAUGCAUCCUAGAAGGCACAGAGAAGGAGCAGAUAAGGAUAAAUCUCUUGUAGGCAACUGUAACAGCGGCAGGAAAAAAGUGAUAUUUGUUUUGUACUUAUCACUUUGACUAGCUGUAAUUAUUAUUGCUAUUGUUAGUGUUUCUAUUUGCAAUAUCACCUGAGGCUGCCCAGCCAGCACUGGGCUCCAUUGUAUUCAGCACAAAUGCAUCCAGACCCCUCCAAAAAACUUCCAGAUCAGAAUGCAAGUGACGUACGAUGGCAGAGAGAAGGGAUAAAACCAAAUGGAUACAAUUAGCCUAGACACAACUUAGUCAUUCUCUUCUUGGUAUAAUUAUGAAAUGGACAAAGGUAGUGCCAAAUAACCUCAAAUGCCCUUCUGGCCAUAAUUAAUUAUAUUGCAUAAUAAUAGUGUCAGUUUAAACAUUGUUUAAAACCGAUGCUUUGCUCAAAAUUACUGUACAGCCACACUUAUAUCUUGCACAACAGACUAAUACAUAGCAGUGUCUUGACUUCCAUUUUCUAUUUCAUUGUGUCCUCUGUGCAUAGGAAAAGCUCUUGACCAAAGAGGAGUCAGUGGUACAGUGGUAAAUAAAAGUGGGUAGAUUCAUCUGUCUGUGGUAUAGAAGGAGCAGGUAAAUACUCGAAGUGCCCAGAGUAGAAGUGGGUACAAAGGGAGUGCCCUUUGCCUGCAUUUACCCUUGACUACACCACUUAGAAGAGUUGCAUAAUUGAUACAAUUGAACCACAUCAGUCCUUUAUUUAUAGAACAUAAUGAAAUGGUUUUCAACAUCCUGGAUCACGCUACAUGGGUGAUUGCCAUAUAUGCAUCCAAGGAGAAUAAAUAAAAACAUUUCCCUAAGGUAUUCUGUCUCUUCACCUUCUCUAGUUGCAUCCCGGACUUAAUUUUGAGAGAAGUUCUGUAACUAAUGCAGCAUGUAAUCCUGUGCUGCUAUUGCACACACUUUGUCCAGAGGAGAGCUGCAGUGAUGCUGCCCCAUAACACUGGAGGUUCACAUUUCCCAUGUAGAACAUAAAGUGUUGUCAUAGAUGACGGAAGAGUGUGCACAUAGCUAUACAUAUUGCAAACUGCUUAACACAGACCCCCACAUUGUACUGAAGUUACUCCUUUUUUUCAAACUUUGUUAGCUUAUAUUUGACAUAAAUCUGGCUUGCCUAGAAAGCAGACGGGCUCAAGCUCAAAAAAAAAAAAAAAAAAAAAGCUGUGGCAUAUGAUAGUUGCUUUCAGUGAUGGAAAUGAAAGUGAGUCAUGAAGCGGUCCCCUGAUAAACACAAAUGGCAUAGAUAAUCUGAGCCCACUGUUUGAGCCGCAGGCUCCUGCACCAGCUUGUGCUUGUGAUGAUCAUAGAAUCACAGAAUCAUUAAGGUUGGAAAAGACCUUCAAGAUCAUCUGGUCCAACCACCACCCUACUGCCAAUGUCACCCACAAAACCAUGUCUCUCAUUACUGCACCUUGCACUGUGAUCACCAUCCAAGGACAAGUGUGGUCUACAACAGAAGCAUGAGCAUCAGGUAGCACUGAGAAAGGAUUACUAUAAAAGUUAUAAAAAAUAAAACACUGCCAUUAUUUCAUCUUUUUUUUUCUAUCAUUGGAAAAAUAUGGAUAAUUCAGAAGUAUUUCUCUUGCUGGCUGUUUUGUCCAUCUUUACAUGAUGUUCUACUAUUCCUAUUGCAUCAUUUGAACUUGGCCUUUACUUAUGAUGCUACAUUGUUUUAUGUAUACACUUUAUAAUUAGAACUACUAAUUGCAAGCUUGCUUGUUGCCUUUAGUUGAUUUUCCAGAGCAUUACUUGCAAAAAGAUCACAAUUACUCAGUUCUUUUCAAUUGCUCAGUGAGUAUUUUCAUACAUAGAAACCAGGACUAGGUGUUUAACUUACUGUGUUUCUAAGCUUUAGACUGUGCCCAUCUGGUGUGCAGAAAUGAUCUGCAUCAAAAAUUUAAUCUUUUCUGAGGUGUUUA